CGUCAUCGUUCAGGUGUUCGUCCAGUCCGGCGAAAAAGGGUUUGCCUAAAAUCGAGCAGAGGGAGAGAAGAAAAGUGCUUGGUUUUGUGCUGUACGGUAUGAAUUGUACGAUCAACCGGUCAGAGGACUACGUUUUGAUGGAUGCAGCCACAACACUGUUGGAAAAAUUGUGCUCUUUUCCGAACAUGAUACUGAAAAUUGGUUCGUUACCAGAUGUACACCAUAAAACCGGCUACGGGUUUGUGGGCCUAUACUGAAGAGGAGAACAAGAGAAGCACUAUUUGCAGCACAAUGAGUUAGAUCGAUGGUAAAAUGUGCGCACAACAGCGCACAAAUCGGUGCACGGGAUGGAACCUUUGUUUCCGACCGGUGUACGGUAUUGUUGCUGCGCCCUGCCAUCAUUCCGCCCAACUCGAAGCAAACGGAAUGGGGAUACGGACACGGUGAAUGAAUUGACGUAAUUUAUAUUGCUUGUUGGCUAUCAAUUUUCCAAUGAUUUAUGAUUCACACAAAUACCACUGUCACUGCCGGCAACAGGACAACCUCACUCCCUUCUAUGUCCCUUCUCGAUAGCUCUCUACCACACGCGUCGGAAUGCUAUUUGGCACUCGGAAAAGCCGGAUCGUGUGCGUACGAUGGAAAAGCCCUGUCGUAGGCGGAAGACGGUUGAAAUGUUAGCGACACGCAUUGUGCAUGCAUGUGUGCGUGUAUGUUUGUGUGCUUAUAGUGAUAAUAAAUUACUCACGCUAUUAAAAGCGUUCGU
Anopheles arabiensis is the source of this 763-nucleotide long non-coding RNA. RefSeq lists it as uncharacterized. The transcript has 3 exons. The record is from RefSeq and is a predicted model, not a curated record. NCBI's taxonomy places the organism in Eukaryota, Metazoa, Arthropoda, Insecta, Diptera, Culicidae.